Molecule: ribosomal RNA, 422 nt
Filed under: uncultured bacterium
Lineage: Bacteria
Description: partial 16S ribosomal RNA
Rfam family: Bacterial small subunit ribosomal RNA
Source: RNAcentral
UGCGGAAUAUUGGACAAUGGGUGAGAGCCUGAUCCAGCCAUCCCGCGUGAGGGAUGACGGUCCUAUGGAUUGUAAACUUCUUUUGUACAGGGAUAAACCUACUCUCGUGAGGGUAGCUGAAGGUACUGUACGAAUAAGCACCGGCUAACUCCGUGCCAGCAGCCGCGGUAAUACGGAGGGUGCAAGCGUUAUCCGGAUUUAUUGGGUUUAAAGGGUCCGUAGGCGGACUUGUAAGUCAGUGGUGAAAUCUCAUAGCUUAACUAUGAAACUGCCAUUGAUACUGCAGGUCUUGAGUAAAUUUGAAGUGGCUGGAAUAAGUAGUGUAGCGGUGAAAUGCAUAGAUAUUACUUAGAACACCAAUUGCGAAGGCAGGUCACUAAGAUUUAACUGACGCUGAUGGACGAAAGCGUGGGGAGCGAACA